Non-coding RNA from Paramuricea clavata, 1278 nucleotides. The record is from the annotation of a GenBank genome assembly. Lineage: Eukaryota; Metazoa; Cnidaria; Anthozoa; Malacalcyonacea; Plexauridae.
UCCAUCCCUGAUGACCGAUCCCUAAUGCCUCUCAUAAGGGUCAGCCAGAGAGCGUCAGCAUAAAGCUCUGAAGAUUUUCUGUGAUUGGUUGAUUGUGACAAUGACAAAAGAAUAAGCUAUAGAAAGGAUUUUCUAAAUAACGAAGCAAGAACAAUAUUCCUUUUAUUUAUGUAAGCCAAUUACGUCUUUUGUCAUUGUCAUAAUCAACCAGUCACAGAACAUCUUCCUAGAGCUUCGUGUUUACUGUUUACUAAGCACACUGGCUAGGACCAUGGCGUCAGCAUUUUGAUGACAAAUUACAGUUAUGCCAAAAUCAUAGGAAAAACCAAAAAGUCAACCUUCUGUUUUGUCUCUAUUCCGUGGCCGAGCAAAAAAGAUUUCCACGAGCGAGCUUUCAAAACUUUUCCAAGCUAUGAGACAACAUGAGACAAAUACCACGCAUUUUUGAGAUGCCUAUAUAUGAUGACGUUGACAAACGUAAGUUUCAUAAAUUUCAACAAAGGAAAUUCUUUCAGAGAUUUAUUACCUUUCUGAUUACAAACUUGUCAUCUGCAGCUAAUUUGUAAAAUCCAGAAAAUAUUGCGGUUGACUGGUAAAGCCCAUUUUCCACUAGGCAGAUUUGUUCACGCGAACAAAUUCGUCCAACGGAAUAUGGGCUAAAAUUCAUGUAUUUGUUUGGAAUUUUCCCAAUCAAGGCGAUCGCUCAUUUUGAAAUUGUGUUUAUGUGUGUUUAAAAUUUUAUAUGUGUUUUAUAUUCGAAUAUACCAACAGCUACAAUACUACCUAUUAUUUUUCAUUGGAUUUUAGAGAACUGUGCAGUGUGUAGUAGGAAAUAAGUAAGCAUUUCAAAAGGCAAUUAUACCACAUCGAAACGUUCACUGCUGUGGAUCAAUCAAAAAUAUUAUCCUCAUUAGGAACUCAUUUGGAAGGUUUUAACUGGACGAUAUGAAAGAACAGGCCCUAGUCGACUUUAUAACAAAAUAAAACUCUUACCUUUUUGUUUACACACGCUGAUAUUCUGCUUUCAACUUCUGCAUUCGUCAAUCUUUCAACAUGGUUUCAAUUAGAGACCUUUAGAUAGAUGUUUACGGCAAACGUCAAACCGCUAUUAACGAAGUGUUUGAUACUGAUUAAUAAUACAACUCUAUUAUAACAGCUUUUACACCAUCCAGUUUUGAAAUAUAUUAAACAAUUAUUAAUUAACCACUAGUCACGUAUUCACCAAAUAAAUGACCAAAGCACAAACACAGAGGAGAGAUGUUGAAGUUGAAGUUGACG